Molecule: unclassified non-coding RNA, 4543 nt
Filed under: Hevea brasiliensis (rubber tree)
Lineage: Eukaryota; Viridiplantae; Streptophyta; Magnoliopsida; Malpighiales; Euphorbiaceae
Source: RNAcentral
CAAAAACAUUAGUGAUAAUUAAGUAAAUAUUGUGGAAAAUGACUUUACGUCAUUCUCCUAAAGAGUAUUUUCCUUCUUAGUUAAAAAUAUGGCUGCUACUAGUAGUUACGGAAAUGGCAAGUAACCUUGAUUUCUGUCCUUUAAGAUGGUAGUUGCAAUUUGACAAAAAUGACAAAUUUCCUCUCCUCUUCUACCUAUUGUUAAUUUGUUAUUUACAGAUAUGGAGUCAAGGAGGAGCGCCUUGGUAUUCUCUUUCUUUCUUUUUCUCUCUUAGAAACCAAGGAAAAGAAAAUAAAAAUCUAUCUUUUUCCCUUGAACAUGUGGAAAUGACGCAGAAGCAAGAAACCCAUCAAGAGUUUUGUUGUUUCUUUGUUUUUCUAAUCAUUCACUCAUAGAUUAGCUAAUCUUCGUUUUAUCUUGGUUUUUGGUGUGAAAGGAUGAGAGAUCAAGCUACUUCACCCCAAGUGAAAGACUUUGUGCAGUGUUUAAAGGAAUAGUAGAAACUGUGAUCUUUAGUUUUCUUGGUUGUUUUAGUUUCCAGCAUCUGCCUCCUAAGCACCAUUACACCAUCAAUGACCUCAAUCGCAUUUCUAGCACAACUUUAUGUUUGUAUCUUUCCCUCAGUUAAUAUUUAUGCGUUAUUUUUGUGAGUGUUUGUUAUGGUUUUCGAUUCUGAGUUUUUAUUUUUUUCAAUUUUUUGGGGCUGAUAUUGCAGUUACAGUGAAUGAGGUGGAGGCGUUGCUUGAUUUAUUCAAGAAGUUGAGUAGCUCAAUUAUUGAUGAUGGCCUUCUACACAAGGAAGAGCUCCAGUUGGCCUUGUUAAGAACUCCUGCAGGCAAAAACCUUUUUCUGGACAGGGUAAAUUCACCAACCUCUCUUCCAUUAUCUUUCACCUUCUGUUAAGUGGCCAACCCUUUUUUUCUUUCCUUUUCUUUUUCUAGAUAUUUGAUCUUUUUGAUGAGAAGAAAAAUGGUGUAAUCGAAUUUGAGGAAUUUGCGCACGCACUCAAUGUUUUUCAUCCUCGUGCCUCCCUGGAGGAUAAAAUUGACUGUAAGUUUUCAGGUGGAGGAACUAUUCAGUUCAUUUUCUGUGACCAAAUCAAAGAAAACUAAUGUUCAAAUACAUUGGUUUGUUUGUCCCUUGGGUUUUAUGCAGUUGCAUUUAGGUUGUAUGAUUUGAAAGACACUGGAUAUAUCGAACGGGAAGAAGUGAGUAUCUCUGUGUUGAGACAUGUCCAGAACAUGUAUGGGUUAGUUUCAGAAAUCAAAUAAUUAUCUGGUUAUACACAAACAAAAUCAUACAUUCUCCAGUAGCAGUUGGCUGUGCAAUUGUACCAUUCUUGUAAGUUUAGCCAUUAACUUCUGGUAGUUUUCAGGUCCGGCUAAUGUUAAAUGCCAUUUUGCAAGAAUCUGACUUGCAGCUUUCAGAGGAAUAUCUUGAAGCAAUCAUUGAUAAGGUGAAGAAAGUUUUCGCUCGUUAAAACCAAGUAGUCUUUUGUCUUUCUUUUGAUUUCAUCAUCUUUUAUUAAACGAAGGCUUCCACUUCUUCUUCCUUUUCCCUGAAGUAGUGUACAUUAAUGGUGACCACUUUCUUUGCUCAGACAUUUGCCGAUGCCGACGCCAACAAGGAUGGCAAAAUUAACAAAGAAGAAUGGAAGGAGUUCGUCAUUCAGAACCCAUCCCUUUUGAAGAACAUGACCCUUCCUUAUUUAAUGGACAUCACCACAGUGUUUCCAAGUUUUAUUUUCAACACUGAAGUUGAUGACUGAAACCUUUAGUUACAAUUUUCUUUCAUGCUAAGCCAAAAUAUUGACGGCAAAAUGUCAAAAGAAAAGCCAUUCUAAUUCAUCGAAAUGCUUUUCAGUAGGCAACAGCAGCUGAUCACUUCUUCAAAUUUUAACACUGAUCAUGCAGCCUUUCUUUUCCCUCAUUAUUUUGGUGGGGAUCAUAUUUCAUUAAUUGAGGGUGGGUCUAAUCAAAACACCCCAUCUCUCCCUUGUAUUCUUUCCACAUUGGCAAAUUUUAUACUAUUCUUCCAUUACAUUACAUUCAAUACGAAAUUGUAAACAUAAAAAUACAUAUCAGCUAUAGAAUUUGAAGAUAUCCACAUGUAUGUGCAGGAAGUUACCAUCAAGAAAUAUAUACAUCAGUUUAAAAAACUUGACAUUGAAAAAGAAUGUUACCAUCAGAAACUACCAAUCAAGUUACAGGAGAAUCACAACAAAUUAAAAAUAUACAAAGCCUAAUCAUUUGUUCUUGGUAAAUUACUUUUUGUAGUUUUUUAAAACUAAUUGUUUAUGAAACAAUAACACUUUUUCAAUAUCAAAAAAGUAAUGAAAAUAAUUCCCACAGAGGAAAUUAACUUUCCAUUUGUUGGAAUGAAAAUGCAUUGAAAUGAGGAUGUUGCUCCUAUUAUUCUCAGGGGUGAGCAUUAAUUGGUUAAUUGGGUUCAAAUUUUAGCAAAACUAAAAUAACUGAACUUUAAUAGCAUUAAAACUGAGGGUCUCUAAGAAUGAGCUUUAGCUUAAUGGUACUAGAUUCAUCUUUCUAGAGCUAUAAAUUAAAAAGAAAAUUGAAGAACAAAUAUGAGUAGUAAACUCUAUUUCUCCUCAAUUGCUAUGUAAAUGCAAAUGGCAUAAAAAUUAAAUCUACUUAAAAUAGACAAAAAUAAAAAAAAGAAACAUCAACCAUACAAGAGAGCAGAACAUAAAGUACUGACAGAACCCAAAAAGCAAAAUAAUCUGAUAAGCCACAAAUUCAAGGUUUAUAUAUACCCAAUGCAAUUCUCAGAGAAUGACUUGGAAGAAACAAAAAACUUGGGAAAAUUAAGCUUGAUUAUGAUGUAAAAUAUAAGCUUGCCUAAGACUAAGAAUGAGAAUGGCAGUGGAAAAAGAGAGACAGCACUCCAAGAUCGGUUGGUGGGCUAGUAGAGGGCACAUGCAGAUCAAGUGAGAGCGGUGGCAGAAGAGAGGGCAGCACCGUCUCACAGACAGGAGUGAGAGGGUAGCACCAUUUUAGAGAUGGUUGGAUAGUGAAACAAGAGAAAUGACAAUAAAAGGAAAUUGUGGAAGUAGGGUUCUUUGCCUUCCCUCAAAUUAAUCUACUACUUGCUCAAAUAAAUCAACAAAAAAUAAUCAUUUUAUUCUGUUCUGAGAAACUCACAACCAAACUGAACUCCAAAAGGCAAGAUUGAUUAAACUUUCAAACCAAAAUUGAACAAAUCAAACCAAAUUAACUGGUUUCUCAGCAGUCCUUUUUCCCUUUUAAAUCAUUUGAAAAGCAGAAAACUUUUUUUUUUAAAUAUUAAAAACAGAAGACUAGAACCUCCUCUUCUGUAGUACUUGGUUUUGAUGGUACCUACCUCAGUGAUCGAAGUGGGAUAAUGCAGUUUCAAGCUGUUGUGAGGCGGAGAGCCAGUAUAAAAAAGCAAUAGUAAUAAAAAAAUACCUGACCUCUGCCUUCACGCCCAGUUUUCCAUCUGCAGAACAUUAAAGAAAACAAAGUUAGAAGAAAUCCAGAAAUUGCAAGUUCAAUUUACAAGAUGACAAGCUAGAAACAAGCAUAUUGGAUAACAUAUUUUCCAUAAGCUAUCUUAUGAAAGUUCCAACAAACUAUAAAAAAAAUACACUGUGCCUCAAGAAUCAUGAGCUUUGCUUCUGCUUGUAUAAUCAUAUACAGGCUUCAUUUAUGUACAAGGUAACAUAUUCAUAACUGAACCUACAUGAUGUCCCCUCCAAGUAUACACUGCAUCAACACAAACAUUAGAAACUGAAUCACAGCUGUGUCUUAAUUCAUCCUCAUAUUGUUCAACAAACAUAUAUUUCCUUGGCCAAAAUCUACUAGCUCAGUUGGUGAACCAAAGAAUUUGAAAUUUCGCAGCUGAGAAUCUGACUUUUAUUUGGAUUUGAUGUAACAAAGCAUCUCCAUAUCCAAUUUUCAGCAGGAAUGACUACCCUGAAAGUAAUGAAGCCAUUUUUUCACUGGACAAAAACCAUGCUGACCUUCACAUUAAGCUGAGACACUAGUUCACACUUCAAAAGAAUUUCUUUCAUAGUCUGUUAUACGAAAAAGUUAUAGAUAAGCUGGCCAUUAACUCCCAAAGAUGGUUAAUCAGAUAUUAUGCAGCCUUCCUUUCACAAAACCAAAAGCAUGCUGACCUUCACAAUAAGACUGGACCAUAAAUUCACACCUCAUAGGUAUUUUAUUUCUAUUGAUUUGUAGCCACUCUACACAGGUAUCCACAGAUUGUAAGUCAUCAAGAUAGUCUACCUCUUUUCAAGAAAACUAUAACUCCCAAAGUUUAUCUUCAAUUAAAAAAUGUCUAAAGAACAGAUGACAGAAGGAUAAUCAGACAUUAACUUGUAAAAUACUAGGCAUCUUUCUCAAACCAAACUCAAAUGGCAAAAACCUAAUAAGUUACUAAGUUCGGCAUCAACCACCCAAUCCACCAAUGUGAUUGGACUGUGCAUCCUGAUAAAGAAAAAAAAAUCUCCAGUCCAAAUUAAUCAUGUCCAUUGCAACACAUUAUGCCAUACAACUAGCAG